GAUGAAGAACGCAGCGAAAUGCGAUAAGUAAUGCGAAUUGCAGAAUUCAGUGAGUCAUCGAAUCUUUGAACGCACAUUGCGCCCUGUGGUAUUCCGCAGGGCAUGCCUGUUCGAGCGUCAUUUCAACCCUCAAGCUCUGCUUGGUGUUGGGCCCUGCCCGCUGCGGCCGGCCCUAAAGACGGUGGCGGUGCCGCCUGGCCCUGAGCGUAGUACAUCUCUCGCUCCAGUGCCCGGUGGUAGCCUGCCAGAACCCCAACUCUCGUGGUUGACCUCGGAUCAGGUAGGGAUACCCGCUGAACUUAAGCAUAUCAAUAAGCGGAGGA
This 323-nucleotide unclassified non-coding RNA is filed under the name soil metagenome. RNAcentral describes it as "partial contains 5.8S ribosomal RNA, internal transcribed spacer 2, and large subunit ribosomal RNA". The stretch from base 1 to 120 matches the Rfam family "5.8S ribosomal RNA", at positions 35 to 154 of the family's 154-position model. The record is from RNAcentral.